This is a long non-coding RNA of Triticum aestivum (bread wheat), 2911 nucleotides long. RefSeq lists it as uncharacterized. NCBI's taxonomy places the organism in Eukaryota, Viridiplantae, Streptophyta, Magnoliopsida, Poales, Poaceae. The transcript is spliced from 2 exons. The record is from RefSeq and is a predicted model, not a curated record.
UCACCCCCAGCUAAGUUAUAGAAAUGAUGGAAAACAGCCAUGAUGUCGUGCUUAAUGAGACUCCAGCAUGAUCUGUAGAAGGCGCCCGAGAAUCCGUCAGGUCCAGGUGCCUUCUCAGAGGGGGGUGCCUUAAUCGCCUCCCAAACUUCAGUUUCCGUGAACGGGUUGUCGAGCCCAACAUUCUCAACCGAUGGCAGCGGAAUGGAGUCCCAGUUGAUCGAGCAGGAGCGUGGGCGCCUUGCGGCUGCUUUCUUCCGUCUUAUCCACAGCAUCGAUUGGCAUCUCUGGAUCUGUGCCCUGUUUUAUACGAGAGUUGCAGGUCGUCCAGAAAUCGGGCACUGUACCGAAAUACGUAUGCGGCAGCGCGUCGUGGUGGGCCAACGAGGCGGGGCACAGUGACCAGAAGUAACGCGCGGUUGAACGGCAGUUUGCCGCCGACGAGGUGUUCCAAGGAUCAGAAUCCGGGCUGCCGUCUGAUCCGUGGAUCUGAAAGUUAGGUUUACGGUCUGGCAGCUGCAGACUCGAAUUGAAUGCAGGGUCCAGCGUCUUCUCUUGCAAAAGCGAGUGGCCUCGUGAAGGUGAAGACUGCGAGGCAGAGGUCAGGAGCGGCGGCGGGGAUCCAGCAUGGAGUUUUUGAUGCAACCUGUCGGCAGGUUCGUGUGUGCUUCGACGGCGAUGUUGUCUGCAUUUUUAGGGCGUUUUGAUUAGCUGAUUGAGUACGUUUGUUCUCCCCCCCCCCAUGUUUUACAUCUGCUCUGCUUGAGGAGGUGGGGGAGUUUUGUGCCUGGGCCUCUGGUUGGGAAUGGCGGUGUGCUGUCGGAGCCGGCCGUGCCGCAGCAGCAUGGGCGGCGGCGAGCGGAGAAGCACAGAUCUGAUCGGCGAAGGAGGACGCAGCGGCCAGGAGGGGGAGCUCUCCUACAACAUCUAAGCUGACGACGGGGAAGAUGAAUCCCCAGGCUCCCGGAUGGAAUAAGAGGAUCUCAAGCAAUUAUGAAGGGUCGCCGCAGGCAUCGGAGCAAUCGAUUGAGCAGAUUGACCCUAAAAUACCCGAAUGGACAUGAAGGUACGACAGUUUUAUGCAUUGGAAUCCAUGCUCCUGGUGAUGUGCGUAUGGUGCGAAUUGAAAUGAAUGGUAGGAAAAUUUAGCUCUGAAUUAGUUAGCAACAGAGUUGUUAACGGAUGCAGUAUGUGAAUCGGAGGUUAGUUGCCCACAAACCUAGUUAGCAACGGUGUUGUGUGGAAUGAAUUGUGGAGUAGGUUGUUCUGAAUUUAAGUGAAUGUAAAAUCAGCAAACUCUGAAUUAUGGAGUAAGUGCUUCCUAUCUGUAGGGGAACUGCAUUUGGAAGGGGGUCAUUACUGAUGCGAUGAGAACAUCGUAUGAUAGCUCUUAUCCUGGAUAGAGCCAACAUCAUAUAAAUAUGCUGCCUUUAGCAGUGCACUGCAUUUUGAGGUCAGAAUGGUUGCUAGUCCAUAGGGUGAUUUCGGGUCAGAUGUUCUGUAAGUGUGAGAACCAUAGUGAAAUAAACAACAAAGUUGUAGGAUGUGUGACAAUGAAAAAAUGGCUAAUUUGGUGGAUGAUUUGCAGUGUGCAUGUGUGGUGUCGUUAAAUGACAGAAUUUGUACGACACCAUCACUAACUAAUUGUGUGCGAGAUAAAAGGUGAUAGCGUUAAAAGAUAUGAACUAAUGUCUCUUCGAACAUGGACAGUGAGUAAUUACAGUAGAUAUGAGCUGCAGGAUUGUGUCAUAGGUUGCAAAAUAUGGAGUAACCCUUUUUUUUUUUAAAUGAUGCUUGGUAUGCGUUGGUGCUAUUCUGGGUGAUUGGAAAACACAUGAAAAACUGAUGCUACCGGAACAUAAAUACUAAAAGUAAGUGUCGUGGUUUUAGUUCAAAUUUGAACUAAGACCACGACACUUAUUUUGGAGUAAGGAUUGUUGCGGCGUCGCCUUGCAGGACCUCGUGUCCUGGUCGUGCUUCUGCCCUUGAGAAGGCAAUUCAUGAAUUUGCACAGAAUCCAGGAGAUAUUGUAAUUGUGCCAACAUUGGGGACAAGCUUCAAUGCUUUAGGGGAGGCAUAUGAUUUUUACAACCUCUAAUCAUGGGAGAAAGGAUUCGGAAUUAGAUAUGGGAAAAGCAGACCAAAUGUGGACAAAAUGCAUGCAGGAAAUCAUGUGGAUUUGCGGUCAGUUCCUCAGAUUUUCGUUUUGUUCAAUUCAGUUGCAAGUGCAAUAUUUUCUAGUGUGUGAUUCGUGUCGUAGGGUAAGGCAGGAGUUGAGAACAACAUAUUGUGCCGGUGUGAGUGCCCUGCUCUUUAUGAGGCUGCUGCACUCAAAGGAUAAUGGUUGGUAUAUAGCUGAGCAUCGUGAAGAGCACAACCACUCAUUGUCACCAAACUGCAGGGAGACAAUACACUGGGCAUCAUACAAGCACAUAGAUGUGUACAUCCGGGACCUGAUAAAGCUGUUGCGCCAGAACAAUGUGAAUCUGUUGGAAGUGUACAGCAUCAUAGGUAGUUUUUUUAAUCAAUGGAUAAUAUCCCAUUCACAAAGCGAGCUUUGAGGAAUUUGUGUGGUAAAAUCAGCGGUGAGCAAGCAGAAGAUGAUGUUAGGAAGGCAAUGGAAGUUUUUGCAUAACUUGGGGCGAAGGAUCCACACUUCACAUAUCAUGUUCAAGCUGACAAGGAUGGGAGGAUCAAUACCUUGAUGUGGGCCAAAUGGUAACAGCCGUAGUGGUCUGGCUCUGCUUCUCUAGCUACUCAAUUUUGGAAUCUCUAUUCUCUAGCUAACGAGCAUAAUGUUACUAUUGACAAAGUGUGGGAUGGUGUCCAUCUCAAGAUCACCUUUAGAAGGUGCUUUACUCAAGAUUUGUUUAAUGAAUUGCUUGAGCUUUUUAACAUUGUUAAAUCUUUGCAA